GCUCUCAGAGGCGAAGAAGGACGUGAUAAGCUGCGAAAAGCUGCGGGGAUCGGCACAUACGAAUUGAUCCGCAGAUUUCCGAAUG
RNAcentral lists this ribosomal RNA (85 nucleotides) under Flavobacterium columnare. RNAcentral describes it as "partial 23S ribosomal RNA". It matches the Rfam family "Bacterial large subunit ribosomal RNA", at positions 36 to 120 of the family's 2925-position model. The record is from RNAcentral. Lineage: Bacteria; Pseudomonadati; Bacteroidota; Flavobacteriia; Flavobacteriales; Flavobacteriaceae.